GCCAGGCAUGGUGGCUCAUGCCUGUAAUCCAAGCACUUUGGGAGGCCGAGGCGGGAGGAUCACUUGAAGUCAGGAAUUCAAGACCAGCCUGGCUAACAUGGUGAAACCCCGCCUCUA
This 117-nucleotide non-coding RNA is filed under the name Gorilla gorilla gorilla (western lowland gorilla). The record is from Rfam by way of RNAcentral. Lineage: Eukaryota; Metazoa; Chordata; Mammalia; Primates; Hominidae.